This 421-nucleotide ribosomal RNA is filed under the name uncultured bacterium. RNAcentral's name for it is "bacterial SSU rRNA". It matches the Rfam family "Bacterial small subunit ribosomal RNA", at positions 355 to 774 of the family's 1533-position model. The record is from RNAcentral.
UAAGGAAUAUUGGUCAAUGGACGCAAGUCUGAACCAGCCAUGCCGCGUGAAGAAUGAAGGUCCUCUGGAUUGUAAACUUCUUUUAUCUGGGACGAAAACGGGAUUUUUAUCUCAAUUGACGGUACCAGAGGAAUAAGCACCGGCUAACUCCGUGCCAGCAGCCGCGGUAAUACGGAGGGUGCGAGCGUUAUCCGGAUUUACUGGGUUUAAAGGGUGCGUAGGUGGGCUUAUAAGUCAGUAGUGAAAUCUCCGAGCUUAACUUGGAAACUGCCGUUGAUACUAUAGGUCGUGAAUUAUCUGGAGGUAAGCGGAAUAUGUCAUGUAGCGGUGAAAUGCUUAGAUAUGACAUAGAACACCAAUUGCGAAGGCAGCUUACUACAUAUAAAUUGACGCUGAGGCACGAAAGCGUGGGGAUCAAACA